This 573-nucleotide ribosomal RNA is filed under the name Cyrenella elegans. RNAcentral's name for it is "LSU rRNA". It matches the Rfam family "Eukaryotic large subunit ribosomal RNA", at positions 43 to 660 of the family's 3401-position model. Lineage: Eukaryota; Fungi; Basidiomycota; Cystobasidiomycetes; Erythrobasidiales. The record is from RNAcentral.
UCAAUAAGCGGAGGAAAAGAAACUAACAAGGAUUCCCCUAGUAACGGCGAGUGAAGUGGGAAAAGCUCAACUUURAAAUCUGGCACCUUCGGUGUCCGAGUUGUAGUCUCGAGAAAUGUUUUCCGCGCUGGAACGUGUAUGAGUCUGUUGGAAUACAGCGUCAUAGAGGGUGAGAACCCCGUUCAUGACACGCCUCCCAGUGCUUUGUGAUACAUUUUCGAUGAGUCGAGUUGUUUGGGAAUGCAGCUCAAAAUGGGUGGUAAAUUCCAUCUAAAGCUAAAUAUUGGCGAGAGACCGAUAGCGAACAAGUACCGUGAGGGAAAGAUGAAAAGCACUUUGGAAAGAGAGUUAAAAGUACGUGAAAUUGUCGAAAGGGAAACGCUUGAAGUCAGACGUGCGCGGUCCUCGUGACCACUGCAGGCCAGCAUCGGUUUCAUUAGUCGGAUAAAGGUGAAAGAAGGUAGCAGUCUCGGCUGUGUUAUAGCUUUCAACUGAAUACGAUUGAAGAGACCGAGGGACGCAGCUUAUGCUUAGGAUGCUGGUGAAAUGGCUUUAAACGACCCGUCUUGAAAC